Molecule: long non-coding RNA, 431 nt
Filed under: Ananas comosus (pineapple)
Lineage: Eukaryota; Viridiplantae; Streptophyta; Magnoliopsida; Poales; Bromeliaceae
Description: long non-coding RNA (ACOM_LNC027796)
Source: RNAcentral
GAAAAACUUAGCACCCGUUUGGUUCGGGAUUAAGGGGUGGAAUAACUCUUUAACUCCGAAGUUAUUCUCAAACAUCCAAUUUCGGGGGUGCGGUUAGCUAACCCCACCCCACCCCACCCCAACCCAACCAAACAAAAUACUAUUUUACCCACUAUCCUUGUUAUCCCACCUAUUCCAACCAAAUACUAUUUUAUCUAUAUCUAGAUUAAACCCAAUUUUCAACCAAACACAAAAUUACUCUAACCUAACCUUAACCCUGAACUUAACUCUAUUUCUGGAAUAACAAGUUUUACUUAAUACCGAACCAAACGGUGGCUUAAAGAAAUGACCUAUUUGAGACAGGGGUAAAGUGCAGGGAGUCAUUAACUCUUUAUAAUUUUCGACAAUAAAUAUAUCAUGAAUAUAUAAAGAUAGAAUUAAAAAAUUAUAUU